GAUGAACGCUGGCGGCGUGCUUAACACAUGCAAGUCGAACGGAAAGGCCCUGCUCUUGUGGCUUGCUCGUGUGGCGCACGUGUGAGUAUCACGUGUGUAUCCUCCCCUUGUCUUUCGGAUAACAUUAGGAAACUGCGGCUAAUACCGCAUAUGAUCUCCUGCUCCUUAGUGUUGGUUGGAAAGUUUCGGCGGUUGUGGAUGGACUCGCGGCUUACCAGCUUGUUUGUGUGGUAGUGGCUUACGAAGGAUUUGACGGGUAGGCGGCCUGAGAGGGUGACCGGCAGCAAGAGGACUAAGGGAGGGAGCAGAAGGCUACGGGAGGCAGAAGGGGGGAAGAUUGCACAGUAAGCGGAAGACUGAUGUAGAAACGCCGCGAGCGGGAUGACGGACUUCUGGUGGUAAACAGCUUUCGCCUGAGACGAAGAGGGAGUGACGGUAAUGGGUAAAGAAGCACCGGCUAACUACGUG
RNAcentral lists this ribosomal RNA (468 nucleotides) under uncultured bacterium. RNAcentral describes it as "partial 16S ribosomal RNA". It matches the Rfam family "Bacterial small subunit ribosomal RNA", at positions 28 to 507 of the family's 1533-position model. The record is from RNAcentral.